GAGGCCGUAGCGCAGAGGUUGUCGCGCCGAGCUGCUUGCACGGAGGACGCUGGUUCGAAUCCGGCCGGCCCCC
RNAcentral lists this transfer RNA (73 nucleotides) under Pyxidicoccus fallax. It matches the Rfam family "tRNA". Rfam says of the family: Transfer RNA (tRNA) molecules are approximately 80 nucleotides in length. Their secondary structure includes four short double-helical elements and three loops (D, anti-codon, and T loops). Further hydrogen bonds mediate the characteristic L-shaped molecular structure. tRNAs have two regions of fundamental functional importance: the anti-codon, which is responsible for specific mRNA codon recognition, and the 3' end, to which the tRNAs corresponding amino acid is attached (by aminoacyl-tRNA synthetases). tRNAs cope with the degeneracy of the genetic code in two manners: having more than one tRNA (with a specific anti-codon) for a particular amino acid; and 'wobble' base-pairing, i.e. permitting non-standard base-pairing at the 3rd anti-codon position. The record is from Rfam by way of RNAcentral. Lineage: Bacteria; Pseudomonadati; Myxococcota; Myxococcia; Myxococcales; Myxococcaceae.